RNAcentral lists this non-coding RNA (953 nucleotides) under Vespadelus darlingtoni (large forest bat). RNAcentral describes it as "12S ribosomal RNA". It matches the Rfam family "Bacterial small subunit ribosomal RNA". Lineage: Eukaryota; Metazoa; Chordata; Mammalia; Chiroptera; Vespertilionidae. The record is from RNAcentral.
CAUAGGUUUGGUCCUGGCCUUUCUAUUAGUUAUUAGUGAACUUACACAUGCAAGAAUCCCCACCCCUGUGAAAAUGCCCUUUAGUCACUAUUUGAUAUAAGGAGCUGGUAUCAAGCACACUAAAAAGUAGCUCAUAACACCUUGCUCAGCCACACCCCCACGGGAAACAGCAGUGAUAAAAAUUAAGCAAUAAAUGAAAGUUUGACUAAGUUACACUACUAAGGACUGGUAAAUUUCGUGCCAGCCACCGCGGUCAUACGAUUGGGCCAAACUAAUAGACAAUCGGCGUAAAGUGUGUUUUAGAAUUUCAACUCAUCAAUAAAGUCGAACUCUAAUUAAGCUGUAAAAAGCCCUAAUUACUGUAAGAUACCCAACAAAAGUGACUUUAAGAUUUCUGACUACACGAUAGCUAAGACCCAAACUGGGAUUAGAUACCCCACUAUGCUUAGCCUUAAACAUAAAAAAUUAUAAACAAAAUUAUUCGCCAGAGUACUACCAGCAAGAGCUAGAAACUCAAAGGACUUGGCGGUGCCCUACAUCCUUCUAGAGGAGCCUGUUCCAUAAUCGAUAAACCCCGAUAUACCUUACCAACUUUGGCUAAAUCAGCCUAUAUACCGCCAUCUUCAGCAAACCCUAAAAGGGAAACACAGUAAGCACAAAUAUUAACAUAAAAACGUUAGGUCAAGGUGUAGCCUAUAGGUUGGAGAGAAAUGGGCUACAUUUCCCAAGUUAGGAUAUUACGAAAACUCAUGUGAAAGCAUUAGUUAAAGGUGGAUUUAGCAGUAAAUUAAGAAUAGAGUGCUUAAUUGAAUAAGGCCAUAGGGCACGCACACACCGCCCGUCACCCUCCUCAAGCAACAAAUAUUAAUCAUUUCAUAAAACCUUAAAUAUUAUCUGCAAGAGGAGAUAAGUCGUAACAAGGUAAGUGUACUGGAAAGUGCACUUGGAUAACA